Long non-coding RNA from Panthera uncia (snow leopard), 782 nucleotides. RefSeq lists it as uncharacterized. The transcript has 4 exons. Lineage: Eukaryota; Metazoa; Chordata; Mammalia; Carnivora; Felidae. The record is from RefSeq and is a predicted model, not a curated record.
GUGGUCAAAAAUGAACUCCCUGUUGCUCCAAUGGUCACUUUUCAUCACAGUCUUUCUGACCUUCCCAUUGCGUCUGACACUGCUUCAUGAGAUGGCAGCGACAACGUUGAGUUGCAAGGCCCCUGUGACACAUGGGGCCUUGCUCCGCCUAAGUACUGUGUGUUUUCAGCAGUAACAUCACGUAGACGUGAAUGUAGCAGAGCCUCCAGUGAAGCCUCGUUUUCCCAGCCUCCCACCGGGAAGGAGCACCCAGGACUCUCCCUUUGAAUUGGGCACUCUAACAUGAUGGCAACCUCCCAAAAUGGAAAAAAAAAAGCUUUAGGUGUCUUCUCACUCUCCAAAUACCAACAGAAUAUCCAGCAAACAAAAAUCAAAGACUUGUAGUCAUCAGCAGAAAGAGCCAUGAAACCCCACUGACCUCACUGAACCCCACGUUGUUAUGCUUGGAAUGCUCCUAUUAAUCAGAUCCCAAAAUCUCACUUGAUCUGAAGAAGUUAAGCCCAAGGACACCCUCUCUGAAAGAAAGACAUCAAAAAUCUGAACUUGACAUCUUCUCCUUGAGGAGCGCGACACCUUCACAAAGUCCUUCACGUGAGCGCUGACAGAAGCAAAGGCAAAUGUCGCACAAACAGGAGAAACAUCUGAACAAUCCAGACACGGGCAAAGUUUUAAAAACUCUGACCAAGAAAGAACAAUUCCUACACGAGUUCUCCCAACUACUGUAUGAAGGGACACUUUAAGGCAGGUAAGUAGACAAAGGGAAGGUAAUUACUGAUUUGGUU